Long non-coding RNA from Zea mays, 718 nucleotides. RefSeq lists it as uncharacterized. NCBI's taxonomy places the organism in Eukaryota, Viridiplantae, Streptophyta, Magnoliopsida, Poales, Poaceae. The record is from RefSeq and is a predicted model, not a curated record. The transcript has 2 exons.
CCACACGCGUGAUCGGACUUGGACACUAGCAGGUGGGGCCCUCAUGUUGGCCCUUUCUUCUCCACCACAACGGCCGCGCGGACACCGCAUGGCCAGGCGUUCCGGUCUUGUUAGGAUCCUCCGUGAUCCUCGCCAAUCUUUGUCCCGGGAUAUAAAAGCAAACCAUCCACAACCUAGAGAACAACUGGUGGGGGAGAGCUCAAGCCUGGGUCACCGGGGGAUUGGGAAAGAACACCGUCAGGGUGGAACUACGAGCAGGGAGCGACUGCCACCACAAACCCAUGCCUUCGUUGUCUGUUGAGCGCGUCAUCCGUGGUCCUCAAGACAAAAACACCUUCGGCAAGAUAAUACAGAGAUAUAUGUGACAUGAUGAUACAAAAGGAAGCCAAAACUAUGACUGAAGAAGCUUCGGCUUAGUAUUAUGACAAAGCCAAAGGUCGUCACCGACUCAAGGGAAAAAGGUUGUUUAAUCCUUGAUCACUCACAUUGUAAGUACAUGUAAAUGAUAGGGACAUAAAUGUAAUUGUGUCUGGGCUGCGUUCCGCGCCUAUAAAUAGAUGAACAGUACCCCAGUACUGUUCACGCUGGAUUGUAAUCUCCCUCGUGUCAUCUUUGCAUUAACACCUUCUGGCGAACCGAAGGUAUUAUUGUAUUAUAAAUAUUAUUAAUGUUAAUUCUUAUUUAUGGAUAUAAAUAAAAACAAACAGUGAGGGUUUAA